This 231-nucleotide non-coding RNA is filed under the name unidentified eubacterium SCB49. RNAcentral's name for it is "Bacterial large subunit ribosomal RNA". It matches the Rfam family "Bacterial large subunit ribosomal RNA", at positions 1 to 249 of the family's 2925-position model. The record is from Rfam by way of RNAcentral. Lineage: Bacteria; Pseudomonadati; Bacteroidota.
AAUAAGCAAAAUAAGAGCGUAUGGGGAAUGCCUAGGCUCUCAGAGGCGAAGAAGGACGUGAUAAGCUGCGAUAAGCUGUGGGGAGAGGCACAUACUCUUUGAUCCGCAGAUUUCCGAAUGGGGCAACCCACUAUAUUGAAGAUAUAGUAUCCGCAAGGAGGCAAACCCGGAGAACUGAAACAUCUAAGUACCCGGAGGAAGAGAAAACAAAAGUGAUUGCGCUAGUAGCGG